This 492-nucleotide ribosomal RNA is filed under the name uncultured bacterium. RNAcentral describes it as "partial 16S ribosomal RNA". It matches the Rfam family "Bacterial small subunit ribosomal RNA", at positions 29 to 507 of the family's 1533-position model. The record is from RNAcentral.
AGUGAACGCUGGCGGUAGGCCUAACACAUGCAAGUCGAACGGCAGCACAGUAGGAGCUUGCUCUUACGGGUGGCGAGUGGCGGACGGGUGAGGAAUACAUCGGAAUCUACUUUUUCGUGGGGGAUAACGUAGGGAAACUUACGCUAAUACCGCAUACGACCUACGGGUGAAAGCAGGGGAUCUUCGGACCUUGCGCGAUUGAAUGAGCCGAUGUCGGAUUAGCUAGUUGGCGGGGUAAAGGCCCACCAAGGCGACGAUCCGUAGCUGGUCUGGGAGGAUGAUCAGCCACACUGGAACUGAGACACGGUCCAGACUCCUACGGGAGGCAGCAGUGGGGAAUAUUGGACAAUGGGCGCAAGCCUGAUCCAGCCAUACCGCGUGGGUGAAGAAGGCCUUCGGGUUGUAAAGCCCUUUUGUUGGGAAAGAAAAGCAGCAGGUUAAUACCCCGCUGUUCUGACGGUACCCAAAGAAUAAGCACCGGCUAACUUCGUG